Molecule: long non-coding RNA, 526 nt
Organism: Malus domestica (apple)
Lineage: Eukaryota; Viridiplantae; Streptophyta; Magnoliopsida; Rosales; Rosaceae
Source: RefSeq, a predicted model, not a curated record
AUCUAAAUCAUAAAACAACCCUAAAAUUAUAUCAUCUUCUUUCCAUCUUCUCUACUGCUGCCUUUUUUUCCCCUUGGUCUCUCGCAACCUUCCUCCUCAUCCUCUCCCGUAGCCUCUCUUCUCUCUUCCCCACGGAGUGGAACUCAAAGCUCUGCAUCUCCAGGGAAAUAUCAGGGCAGCUACAAAGAAGCGCUAGAAAUGGCUGCAGAGAAGAAAAGAUGCACCCUUGCUAUUUCAUAUUUUCAAUUUUCUCGACUUACACACGGUACGAAUGUAUGAACACAGGAAAGUCCAUAUCUGCCAGUAGUGUUAGUGUAAAAAAUAUAUCAUAGAUAAGCAUAUAUGUGUUCAAAUAUGAACAAGUUCCAAAAAAAAAUUUGUCUCAUCCCGUCCCAUGUAGAAACAUUGUAUAAACAACAGACGGAACAUGAGUAAGUUAAUCAUUUAAUCUUUUGGUUUUGUGCCGUCAUGCGCUUACCAAACGCAGAACGGAACAAUUGUCCCUUUCCGUCCUGCGUGUACCAAA